RNAcentral lists this ribosomal RNA (253 nucleotides) under uncultured bacterium. Its description in RNAcentral is "partial 16S ribosomal RNA". It matches the Rfam family "Bacterial small subunit ribosomal RNA", at positions 524 to 776 of the family's 1533-position model. The record is from RNAcentral.
AACGUAGGACACAAGCGUUAUCCGGAGUUACUGGGCGUAAAGGGCGUGUAGGCGGAUGUGUAAGUCUACUCUGAAAGCUUCUGGCUAAACUGGAAGAGGCGAGUGGAGACUGCAUGUCUAGAGUGAGGAAGAGGAAAGUGGAAUUCCGCGUGUAGUGGUGAAAUGCGUAGAGAUCGGAAAGAACACCAACGGCGAAAGCACUCUGCUGGGCCGACACUGACACUGAGAGACGAAAGCUAGGGGAGCGAAUGGG